GUGGGGAAUAUUGCGCAAUGGGGGAAACCCUGACGCAGCAAUACCGCGUGAGUGAAGAAGGAUUUCGGAUCGUAAAACUCUUUUAUUGGGGAAGAAGAAGUGACGGUACCCAAUGAAGAAGUCCCGGCUAACUACGUGCCAGCAGCCGCGGUAAUACGUAGGGGACAAGCGUUGUCCGGAAUCACUGGGCGUAAAGGGCGCGUAGGCGGUUUUAUAAGUCAGAUGUGAAAGGUACCGGCUCAACCGGUGACGUGCAUUUGAAACUGUAAGACUUGAGUACUGGAGAGGCAAGUGGAAUUCCUAGUGUAGCGGUGAAAUGCGUAGAUAUUAGGAGGAACACCGGUGGCGAAGGCGGCUUGCUGGACAGAUACUGACGCUGAGGUGCGAAAGCGUGGGGAGCAAACAGGAUUAGAUACCCGAGUAGUCC
Molecule: ribosomal RNA, 427 nt
Filed under: uncultured bacterium
Lineage: Bacteria
Description: partial 16S ribosomal RNA
Rfam family: Bacterial small subunit ribosomal RNA
Source: RNAcentral